Non-coding RNA from Miniopterus natalensis, 1395 nucleotides. The record is from RefSeq and is a predicted model, not a curated record. Lineage: Eukaryota; Metazoa; Chordata; Mammalia; Chiroptera; Miniopteridae.
UUGAGGGUCAGUAUUAAAUGAAAGGACAGGUGGCUAAAGAGUGGAUUGGAGACGGGGAUGUUGGAUGCAUGAGGAUUGUCCAGAUGACGAUUUAUGUGUUGCGUUGGAUGGAUUAAUAUAGGGGUCCCUGCAUAGAUACACGAAAUACACGCGCGAGAGAGCACCGUUGAUGGUUUUUAGGUGCUGUGACAGGUGGUUUGAUGCACAGAAUUAACGAAUAGUACAGGAAUUUCAUCAUUGGGGAAAAUACAAUCAUAAAGUCACAUGUGAAGAUGAAUGAAAAGAUGAGUGGACUAUAGAGUGAUACAGGCUAAUUUAUUAAAUGAAGGAAGUUUAGCGGUUGGGUAAUCAAAAUAAUAUAAAUAGAGCAGUGUUCUCUUACAUUGAUUUUUAAAUAUCUUAAUUUGGGGGCUCUUAGGAGAUUGAUCAAAGAGCGAACUUGACCUUGUGUUUUGUGUUCAUGUAAUAUAUCACAUUUUCCCAUAUUUUCCACAGUUAUAACAGGUGUUCCCAGUGUAAGAAGUGAGACAUCUUAGAUGCUGACAUUUCUAGAUCAAUCCAAAUUCUAGUUCUUGUUAUAUCAUUUCUGUGGACUUGAUCUUCAAAAAUGCCGCAUCUUCCCUAAGCAAGGACCAAAGAGAAUUUGACUGCAGGUGGUGGACAUGUGGACAACAGGAUCAUAGAUUCCUUCUGGAGUGGUUCCAUCCCCAGCAUCACCCAGAUUCUGUCAUUAUUUCCCCCUGAGAAGCUUCCUGCAGCUUUGUUUCUCCAGGGGCACAACUUUUUUAUACGUGUCUUCAGGAAUAGAACUGACCUGCUUUCUGGCAAGUAAUUGCCUGGAAUGUUACGUACUUCACUGUGCUCUGAAUAUAUCGUGUGCUUUCUUCUAUUUUAACUACCCCACUGCAUUUUUAAAGACCCAUGUUUUAAAUUACAUAUGGGAUUGAGAGAUGGGCAUGGUAAAUGUAAUGAUGCGACCGAUGGACACCUGGGUGACGCCCCACAUAAUAGCCAGGCUUUCUCACAGGCUAGGUGUUUCCCAUGGGCCAUUUUGGUACUAUUUAUGGGAGACUUUGUUUCUCAUUUGACUCACGAGCCCAGUUUUUAGAGGUUUCUGAAACGUGCAUUCCUGCAAUAAACGAUUGGAAGUUUCCCUGUUUAUUGAACCUGGUAGCUUUCAUUUUAGAUUUGAAUUUUCAAUUGACCUCUUUCCCAAUGGCCCAUCAUUAGACUUGACUGCUACCAUCCCUUGGAUAGUGUAAGGGAGAGUCAGAGUCCUGUACUGACACUUGAGCCAUGGUGAUGUUAUCAUUUUCUUGACAUCACUGGAAUUUUCUUCUUUGGGAUUGGAGUAAACAGCACCAGGCACCAAAGAGAUUUCACAGUCACCUCCAU